UCUCCGUUGGUGACCAGCGGAGGGAUCAUUA
RNAcentral lists this ribosomal RNA (31 nucleotides) under Cordyceps militaris. RNAcentral describes it as "partial 18S ribosomal RNA". Lineage: Eukaryota; Fungi; Ascomycota; Sordariomycetes; Hypocreales; Cordycipitaceae. RNAcentral also lists the same sequence under 1 other name. The record is from RNAcentral.